This 401-nucleotide unclassified non-coding RNA is filed under the name Bidens aurea. RNAcentral's name for it is "partial external transcribed spacer". Lineage: Eukaryota; Viridiplantae; Streptophyta; Magnoliopsida; Asterales; Asteraceae. The record is from RNAcentral.
GCCACCCGACUUACCUCUUCAGAUGUUUGCCUAGGCUUGUAUAGCCUAAGCAGAUUGUGGGUUUCCUGUGUUGCMUACCUACGUCACGGAAUUGUCCCGAUCGAUCAAAGUUGCUUUCGUCUUGUGUCGUCUUGAUGGCAUAAGAUGAACCAUGAAGCUGUCUCUUUGCACCGCAUCGUUAAUGCAUGCAUUGAUGUUGUGGCCCAUUGAGCAUUGCUUGGUACCUUGGAUACGGAACCUUAUGUGGGCAUGGGUCCUCAGGGAUCCUUUCUGCCCUCGUUUAGCGUUCGCGCUUCUCUUAGAAUGACUGCCCAUCUGGAAUGGGAAACCAUUCCGGAUGGGCAUUGUCAAAGAGGAAUGCUACCUGGUUGAUCCUGCCAGUAGUCAUAUGCUUGUCUCAA